GAUGAACGCUGGCGGCGUGCCUAAUACAUGCAAGUCGAGCGAACAGACGAGGAGCUUGCUCCUCUGACGUUAGCGGCGGACGGGUGAGUAACACGUGGAUAACCUACCUAUAAGACUGGGAUAACUUCGGGAAACCGGAGCUAAUACCGGAUAAUAUAUUGAACCGCAUGGUUCAAUAGUGAAAGACGGUUUUGCUGUCACUUAUAGAUGGAUCCGCGCCGCAUUAGCUAGUUGGUAAGGUAACGGCUUACCAAGGCAACGAUGCGUAGCCGACCUGGGAGGGUGAUCGGCCACACUGGAACUGAGACACGGUCCAGACUCCUACGGGAGGCAGCAGUAGGGAAUCUUCCGCAAUGGGCGAAAGCCUGACGGAGCAACGCCGCGUGAGUGAUGAAGGUCUUCGGAUCGUAAAACUCUGUUAUUAGGAAAGAACAAAUGUGUAAGUAACUAUGCACGUCUUGACGGUACCUAAUCAGAAAGCCACGGCUAACUACGUG
This 497-nucleotide ribosomal RNA is filed under the name uncultured bacterium. RNAcentral's name for it is "partial 16S ribosomal RNA". It matches the Rfam family "Bacterial small subunit ribosomal RNA", at positions 28 to 507 of the family's 1533-position model. The record is from RNAcentral.